GUCGGCAGUCAGUAGUAACAAACCUCUCUUGGUGGGCAGGCAGUCGGACGCUCAGCAGGACUGGCAAAACAGAAUAUCUGUGUGUCAGUGUACGUUUUAUUCAUCUGUCGUUUGGGUCAGGGUCUGCGGGGCAGAUCCCCGCAGCUAAUGCCCUCUUGUGAGCAGCAAUACCUCACUUUUUAUCAGCCUCUGGCUGCAGAAGAGCAGGACCACAAUCCUGGAGGCUCAGCAAACAUCCCAUCAAUGGUGGAAAAUGUUUCCUCUUCGUCCCACAUGGAGUUUACAGAUGAUGGGUUUCCAACUUCCAGAAGAGGAACCAGCUGAAGAGAACAUCCCACUCCCCGCUCCCCACCACAAAAAAAAGAUUCAGAGGGUACAUACGCAGGUUUGUUACCUGAGUAGACUUCCUGAUGCUGAGGUUUGGAGUACAACUGAUGCCGUCACUCAGGUACAGAGCAAAACAGGUUGGAGUGCAGUGGCGCGAUCUUGGCUCACUGAAACCUCUGACUCCUGGAUUCAAGCAAUUCUCCUGCCUCAGCCUCCAGAGUAGCUGGGAUUACAAGAGCCCACCACCAUGCCUGGCUAAUUUUUGUAUUUUUAGUAGAAAUGGGGUUUUGCCAUGUUGGCCAGGCUGGUCUCGAAUUCCUGAGCUCAGGUGAUCCACCUGCCUUGACUUCCCAAAGUGCUGGGAUUACAGGCGGGAGCCCUCGGUGUCCAGCCUAGAAUAUCCUCAAAUCCUUCCACAGUGACCCCAGUUUUUAUUUCUACCUUUCUGCAUUCUACAUUUUCUUUGUACUUUUCUUGAGCACACAUUCAGUCUGGUAUUAGUAACUUCCACCUGCAUUAGCCCCGUUUCUUCAGAAAAUACUAAAUGUGCAGUCCCACAGAAGCAGGAGUAAGUGAAAGAGAAACAAAGUGGUGAAGAGGGGAGAGAAACCUCACAGGGUAGGUUCCUGUAUGGCCAGAGUCUGGGACAAGCCAAUUUCGUGAUUUCACAGGAUGCCUUCAGAGAGAACAUUAGAAGUUACUGUGAAAGGGGAGAAGAGGGAAUAAGUUUAUCCACUAAUUUCUGUUUCCCAUUAGUUAGAGGUCACUCCCAUGAGGCUUUACUAUGCCUGCACUUCUCCAUUACACAAAAGUGGACCCAAAGCAAAUCCAACUGUAUGUCAUACCUCAGUGGCAAUAAAAAAGCCCCAGGACAUGUGACCAGAGAUGCGGUCAGGUUGUACCCACAAGUGACAAGAGGCAGUGGUCUCCACUGGUGCAGCGGAUCCUUUAGUUUGUAGUGACAGCAACAGCAGCAACAGUGCUCUGGUUCCAUGACCACAGGAGGAGCACAGGCAGUUUGCUUCUAGAACAGCUCUAGACAGAGUGGGGUGAGGAGACUGGCCUGGCUUGCUUAGGGAGCUAAAUACUGUACCGUACCUCUGUUGUGAGAAUUCAAAGUGCCUAUGCAGGUAAAGCAGCUUGGGCAGUACAGAGAACACAUAGCAAAUGUUAGCUACUAUUAACCUUGUAUUGCAUCUUAUUUUCUCAAAUAAAAUUUAAGCUUUAAUGGCUUACAUAAU
RNAcentral lists this long non-coding RNA (1568 nucleotides) under Homo sapiens (human). RNAcentral describes it as "HSALNT0078630". The record is from RNAcentral. Lineage: Eukaryota; Metazoa; Chordata; Mammalia; Primates; Hominidae.